GACGAACGCUGGCGGCGUGCUUAACACAUGCAAGUCGAACGGAAAGGCCCUGCUUUUGUGGGGUGCUCGAGUGGCGAACGGGUGAGUAACACGUGAGUAACCUGCCCUUGACUUUGGGAUAACUUCAGGCAACUGGGGCUAAUACCGGAUAGGAGCUCCUGCUGCAUGGUGGGGGUUGGAAAGUUUCGGCGGUUGGGGAUGGACUCGCGGCUUAUCAGCUUGUUGGUUGGGUAGUGGCUUACCAAGGCUUUGACGGGUAGCCGGCCUGAGAGGGUGACCGGCCACAUUGGGACUGAGAUACGGCCCAGACUCCUACGGGAGGCAGCAGUGGGGAAUAGUGCACAAUGGGCGGAAGCCUGAUGCAGCAACGCCGCGUGCGGGAUGACGGCCUUCGGGUUGUAAACCGCUUUCGCCUGUGACGAAGCGUGAGUGACGGUAAUGGGUGAAGAAGCACCGGCUAACUACGUG
This 468-nucleotide ribosomal RNA is filed under the name uncultured bacterium. RNAcentral's name for it is "partial 16S ribosomal RNA". It matches the Rfam family "Bacterial small subunit ribosomal RNA", at positions 28 to 507 of the family's 1533-position model. The record is from RNAcentral.